This 451-nucleotide ribosomal RNA is filed under the name uncultured bacterium. RNAcentral's name for it is "partial 16S ribosomal RNA". It matches the Rfam family "Bacterial small subunit ribosomal RNA", at positions 29 to 523 of the family's 1533-position model. The record is from RNAcentral.
AGCGAACGCUGGCGGCAGGCCUAACACAUGCAAGUCGAGCGGACGUAGCAAUACGUCAGCGGCAGACGGGAGAGUAACACGUGGGGACGCGCCCUUCGGUUCGGGAUAACUCAGGGAAACUUGGGCUAAUACCGGAUACGCCCUUACGGGGAAAGAUUUAUUGCCGAAGGAACGGCCCGCGUCCGAUUAGCUUGUUGGUGAGGUAACGGCUCACCAAGGCGACGAUCGGUAGCUGGUCUGAGAGGAUGACCAGCCUCACUGGGACUGAGACACGGCCCAGACUCCUACGGGAGGCAGCAGUGGGGAAUAUUGGACAAUGGGCGCAAGCCUGAUCCAGCCAUGCCGCGUGGGUGAUGAAGGCCCUAGGGUUGUAAAGCCCUUUCGGCGGGGAAGAUAAUGACGGUACCCGCAGAAGAAGCCCCGGCUAACUUCGUGCCAGCAGCCGCGGUAA